AUUGAACGCUGGCGGUAGGCCUAACACAUGCAAGUCGAACGCGUAAGUCCUUCGGGAUGAGUAGAGUGGCGGACGGGUGAGUAACGCGUAGGAAUCUAUCCUGUAGUGGGGGAUAACGUUUCGAAAGGAACGCUAAUACCGCAUACGCCCCACGGGGGAAAGCGGGGGAUCUUCGGACCUCGUGCUAUAGGAGGAGCCUGCGUCGGAUUAGCUAGUUGGUGAGGUAAAGGCUCACCAAGGCGACGAUCCGUAGCUGGUCUGAGAGGAUGAUCAGCCACACCGGAACGGAGACACGGUCCGGACUCCUACGGGAGGCAGCAGUGGGGAAUAUUGCGCAAUGGGCGAAAGCCUGACGCAGCCAUACCGCGUGUGUGAAGAAGGCCUUCGGGUUGUAAAGCACUUUCAGUGGGGAGGAAAAGCUGGUGGCUAAUAUCCACCGGCCGUGACGCUACCCACAGAAGAAGCACCGGCUAAUUCCGUGCCAGCCGCCGCGGUAA
RNAcentral lists this ribosomal RNA (497 nucleotides) under uncultured bacterium. RNAcentral describes it as "partial 16S ribosomal RNA". It matches the Rfam family "Bacterial small subunit ribosomal RNA", at positions 29 to 523 of the family's 1533-position model. The record is from RNAcentral.